Molecule: ribosomal RNA, 510 nt
Filed under: uncultured soil bacterium
Lineage: Bacteria
Description: bacterial SSU rRNA
Rfam family: Bacterial small subunit ribosomal RNA
Source: RNAcentral
AGAUUGAACGCUGGCGGCAUGCCUUACACAUGCAAGUCGAACGGCAGCACGGGGGCAACCCUGGUGGCGAGUGGCGAACGGGUGAGUAAUACAUCGGAACGUAUCCUGUAGCGGGGGAUAACCUCUCGAAAGAGAGGCUAAUACCGCAUACGACCUACGGGUGAAAGAGGGGGAUCGCAAGACCUCUCACUAUUGGAGCGGCCGAUGUCGGAUUAGCUAGUUGGUGGGGUAAAAGCCUACCAAGGCUACGAUCCGUAGCUGGUCUGAGAGGACGACCAGCCACACUGGAACUGAGACACGGUCCAGACUCCUACGGGAGGCAGCAGUGGGGAAUUUGGACAAUGGGCGCAAGCCUGAUCCAGCCAUGCCGCGUGAGUGAAGAAGGCCUCGGUGUAAGCUCUUCGGUCCGGACGGAAAGGUUACGUGCUAACACCGACCGAACGUCAUAGAACGGUACCGGAAGGAAAGAAGACGAACCGGCUAACUACGUAGCCAGCAGCCGCGGUAAUC